GACGAACGCUGGCGGCGCGCCUAACACAUGCAAGUCGAACGAGCGAGAGAGAGCCUGCUUUCUUGAGCGAGUGGCGAACGGGUGAGUAACGCGUGAGGAACCUGCCUCAAAGAGGGGGACAACAGUUGGAAACGACUGCUAAUACCGCAUAAGCCCACGGUGCCGCAUGGCACAGAGGGAAAAGGAGCAAUCCGCUUUGAGAUGGCCUCGCGUCCGAUUAGCUAGUUGGUGAGGUAACGGCCCACCAAGGCGACGAUCGGUAGCCGGACUGAGAGGUUGAACGGCCACAUUGGGACUGAGACACGGCCCAGACUCCUACGGGAGGCAGCAGUGGGGAAUAUUGCACAAUGGGGGAAACCCUGAAGCAGCGACGCCGCGUGGAGGAAGAAGGUCUUCGGAUUGUAAACUCCUGUUGUUGGGGAAGAUAAUGACGGUACCCAACAAGGAAGUGACGGCUAACUACGUG
This 466-nucleotide ribosomal RNA is filed under the name uncultured bacterium. RNAcentral describes it as "partial 16S ribosomal RNA". It matches the Rfam family "Bacterial small subunit ribosomal RNA", at positions 28 to 507 of the family's 1533-position model. The record is from RNAcentral.